AUUGAACGCUGGCGGCAGGCCUAGCACAUGCAAGUCGAGCGGAUGAAGGGAGCUUGCUCCUGGAUUCAGCGGCGGACGGGUGAGUAAUGCCUAGGAAUCUGCCUGGUAGUGGGGGAUAACGUCCGGAAACGGGCGCUAAUACCGCAUACGUCCUGAGGGAGAAAGUGGGGGAUCUUCGGACCUCACGCUAUCAGAUGAGCCUAGGUCGGAUUAGCUAGUUGGUGGGGUAAAGGCCUACCAAGGCGACGAUCCGUAACUGGUCUGAGAGGAUGAUCAGUCACCCUGGAACUGAGACACGGUCCAGACUCCUACGGGAGGCAGCAGUGGGGAAUAUUGGACAAUGGGCGAAAGCCUGAUCCAGCCAUGCCGCGUGUGUGAAGAAGGUCUUCGGAUUGUAAAGCACUUUAAGUUGGAAGGAAGGGCAGUAAGUUAAUACCUUGCUGUUUUGACGUUACCAACAGAAUAAGCACCGGCUAACUUCGUG
This 484-nucleotide ribosomal RNA is filed under the name uncultured bacterium. RNAcentral's name for it is "partial 16S ribosomal RNA". It matches the Rfam family "Bacterial small subunit ribosomal RNA", at positions 30 to 507 of the family's 1533-position model. The record is from RNAcentral.